RNAcentral lists this ribosomal RNA (253 nucleotides) under uncultured bacterium. RNAcentral's name for it is "partial 16S ribosomal RNA". It matches the Rfam family "Bacterial small subunit ribosomal RNA", at positions 524 to 776 of the family's 1533-position model. The record is from RNAcentral.
UACAGAGGGGGCAAGCGUUGUUCGGAAUUACUGGGCGUAAAGGGCGCGUAGGCGGCCCGCUAAGUCGAACGUGAAAUCCCCGAGCUCAACUCGGGAACUGCGUCCGAUACUGGUGGGCUUGAAUCCGGGAGAGGGAUGCGGAAUUCCAGGUGUAGCGGUGAAAUGCGUAGAUAUUGGGAGGAACACCAGUGGCGAAGGCGGCUCGCUGGACCGGUUCUGACGCUGAGGCGCGAAAGCGUGGGGAGCAAACGGG